This 118-nucleotide ribosomal RNA is filed under the name Pteropus alecto (black flying fox). The record is from RNAcentral. Lineage: Eukaryota; Metazoa; Chordata; Mammalia; Chiroptera; Pteropodidae.
GUCUAUGGCCACGCUACUCUGAACACGCCCAAUCCGUCUGAUCUCAGAAGUUAAGCAGGGUGAGGCCUGGUUAGUACCUGGAUGGGAGACCACCUAGGAAGACCAGGUGCUGUAGGUG